AUGGACCUGCGCCGUAUUAGCUAGUUGGUAAGGUAACGGCUUACCAAGGCAACGAUACGUAGCCGACCUGAGAGGGUGAUCGGCCACACUGGAACUGAGACACGGUCCAGACUCCUACGGGAGGCAGCAGUAGGGAAUCUUCCGCAAUGGGCGAAAGCCUGACGGAGCAACGCCGCGUGAGUGAUGAAGGUCUUCGGAUCGUAAAACUCUGUUAUUAGGGAAGAACAAACGUGUAAGUAACUGUGCACGUCUUGACGGUACCUAAUCAGAAAGCCACGGCUAACUACGUGCCAGCAGCCGCGGUAAUACGUAGGUGGCAAGCGUUAUCCGGAAUUAUUGGGCGUAAAGCGCGCGUAGGCGGUUUUUUAAGUCUGAUGUGAAAGCCCACGGCUCAACCGUGGAGGGUCAUUGGAAACUGGAAAACUUGAGUGCAGAAGAGGAAAGUGGAAUUCCAUGUGUAGCGGUGAAAUGCGCAGAGAUAUGGAGGAACACCAGUGGCGAAGGCGACUUUCUGGUCUGUAACUGACGCUGAUGUGCGAAAGCGUGGGGAUCAACCAGGAUUAGAUACCCUGGUAGUCCACGCCGUAAACGAUGAGUGCUAA
Molecule: ribosomal RNA, 602 nt
Filed under: Staphylococcus hominis
Lineage: Bacteria; Bacillati; Bacillota; Bacilli; Caryophanales; Staphylococcaceae
Description: bacterial SSU rRNA
Rfam family: Bacterial small subunit ribosomal RNA
Source: RNAcentral